CUACGUAGGUCCCGAACGUUGCGCGAAAUUACUGGGCGUAAAGGGUCCGUAGGCGGUCUGGUAAGUGGAAGGUGAAAGCCUGGGGCUCAACUCCAGAAUUGCCUUCCAAACUGCCGGACUUGAGGCAGGGAGAGGUCGGCGGAAUUCCCGGUGUAGUGGUGAAAUGCGUAGAUAUCGGGAGGAACACCAGUGGCGAAGGCGGCCGACUGGAACUGUCCUGACGCUGAGGGACGAAAGCCAGGGGAGCGAACCGGAUUAGAUACCCUAGUAGUCC
Molecule: ribosomal RNA, 274 nt
Filed under: uncultured bacterium
Lineage: Bacteria
Description: partial 16S ribosomal RNA
Rfam family: Bacterial small subunit ribosomal RNA
Source: RNAcentral